CCUACGGGAGGCAGCAGUGAGGAAUAUUGGUCAAUGGACGAGAGUCUGAACCAGCCAAGUAGCGUGAAGGAUGAAUGCCCUAUGGGUUGUAAACUUCUUUUAUAAAGGAAUAAAACGAGGCACGUGUGCCUUUUUGCAUGUACCUUAUGAAUAAGGAUCGGCUAACUCCGUGCCCGCAGCCGCGGUAAUACGGAGGAUCCGAGCGGUAUCCGGAUUUAUUGGGUUUAAAGGGAGCGUAGAUGGGUUGUUAAGUCAGGUGUGAAAGUUUGCGGCUCAACCGUAAAAUUGCAAUUGAUACUGGCAGUCUUGAGUACAGUUGAGGUAGGCGGAAUUCGUGGUGUAGCGGUGAAAUGCUUAGAUAUCACGAAGAACCCCGAUUGCGAAGGCAGCUUACUAAACUGUGACUGACAUUGAUGCUCGAAAGUGUGGGUAUCAAACAGGAUUAGAUACCCUAGUAGUC
RNAcentral lists this ribosomal RNA (460 nucleotides) under uncultured bacterium. RNAcentral's name for it is "partial 16S ribosomal RNA". It matches the Rfam family "Bacterial small subunit ribosomal RNA", at positions 338 to 795 of the family's 1533-position model. The record is from RNAcentral.